This is an RNA transcript of Fopius arisanus, 2835 nucleotides long. It is a transcript of the gene named Palmitoyltransferase app, with no coding region annotated. The record is from RefSeq and is a predicted model, not a curated record. Lineage: Eukaryota; Metazoa; Arthropoda; Insecta; Hymenoptera; Braconidae. The transcript has 10 exons.
AGAUGUGUUGCCAAUGGACGAACACACCAAUACCCAUCCAUGGACCUAUCUAUAUACAAACACCUAUCUAUAUGCAAACAAUCACAUGAACAUGGGUUGAAAAUCGUCUUGACGAUGAUACUGUCAUUGCUCAGUGAGUGAAUAAGUUAUUAAAGUGAAAAUUAGCUCCUUCAUUUAUUUAACUUUAUGAAAAAUGGUUGAAAAGUUUGUAAUCAAUGUGAAUUAAAUUUAUAGAAAUUGAGUGGUUUAUGCCGAUUACUUAAACUCGAAAUGAUACUGUGAGAGAGUUUACAGGUGUUUUUCUCAUGGAUUUUCACGCAUUCCAUCGAGAAAAAUAUGAUUGGAGCGAGUAUACUUGGAGUCAGCGGCCUUACGCAUCGUAAAGAUGAUCCAAAUAAUCUCCACGAAGAAGUUGUUAAUGAUUUAUCGUCUCAAAGCACCUAAAAAGUAGAUGACUAAAACGAUAAAUAAGAAAUAAAGGAGAAAAAAAAUAGAAGAUGUCGCACGUGACAAGAAAGUGGGAAUUAUUUCCCGGAAGAAAUAGAUUCUGCUGUGACGGAAGAAUUAUGAUGGCACCACAAACUGGUGUAUUUUACAUAACUGUAUGCCUGAUUGCUGGAACGAGUGCAUUAUUUUUCGCAUUUGAUUGUCCAUAUCUCUCGCAAUACAUAACACCAGCUAUUCCAGUAAUUGGUGGUUUGCUUUUUAUAUUUGUAAUGUCAGCAUUGCUCAGAACGAGUUUCAGUGAUCCCGGAGUAAUUCCUAGGGCUACGCCUGAUGAGGCUGCCUACAUAGAAAAACAAAUAGAAGUUCCAAAUAACGGCAAUUCACCUACUUAUAGACCGCCACCAAGAACAAAAGAGAUCCUCGUCAAAGGACAAUUAGUGAAAUUAAAGUAUUGUUUUACAUGUAAAAUAUUUAGGCCACCACGAGCAUCACACUGCAGCCUGUGCGACAAUUGUGUUGAGGGAUUUGAUCAUCAUUGCCCGUGGGUAGGCAAUUGUGUGGGUCGGAGGAACUACAGGUAUUUUUAUGCAUUUAUCGUUUCUCUGGCAUUUCUCUGCGUCUUCAUCUUCGCCUGCGCAAUAACACACCUUAUUAUGCUUACCAGGGAUGAGACCCCAUUCUUGGAAGCUGUCAAGUUAUCUCCAGCAAGUGUCAUUGUUGGCGUAAUUUGUUUUUUCUCAGUGUGGAGUAUUCUCGGAUUAGCUGGCUUCCAUACGUAUCUCACAACUAGCAAUCAAACGACCAAUGAGGAUAUAAAGGGCUCGUUUUCAAGCAAGCGAGAACAAGAGAGUUUUAAUCCUUACAGUCAAGGAAAUAUUUGUGAAAACUGCUUUUAUGUUCUCUGCGGGCCAGCUCCACCCAGUCUCAUCGAUCGAAGAGGUAUAGUGACACCUGGUUACAGAGCAGAACAUGAAAGAGUCGGUGAAGAUUACGUUAUAGCAAAUAAUAAAGCCUAUGGAACUGUAAAAAUAACUCAACCGCAGGUAAACGGCAAUAGUAUUCCACCAAUUGAUACCGAAUUGAGUGGUUCAAUGAAUAAUUUGGUGUCUGGACGUCGUUCUCCGCGAAUAGAAUCAUUGAACGGUGAGUUGAUACUCGUAAGUCAGGCGCAACGUUUGUCCGGGGAUAAACCCAGUUACCAUGUACCCAAGUAUACUCGAACAAGAACAAUGCAAAAUCGUGUACCCUCAGUUCUUUAUUAUGAUUCCCAAAGCCCAUUCAAUGCCGAAUCCACCCAACGACACAAUUAUAAUUACGAGUAUGAGGAAAAUUAUAAAAAAUAUCCAGAGGCAUGUCGUGAUGACAUUCAAUGCUCCUCCGGUAAUAAUUUUAUUUAUGAUCAGUACGCUAUUGAUGGUAAAUAUCAUGUCGAUUUGAGAAAAUAUCCACGUGGAUACUCGGAGGAUCUGCUCAGGCACAAAGAAGAAGAGUAUCAUAAUCAUCCAGAUCUUCAAAAAUUUCGCCACCGGUAUUUUGAUGACUCCAACAGUGUGUCCUACUCAUCUCAAUCAAUUAAAUACAAUAAUCUCAGAUGCAAUCAGCAUGGAUUUAAAUAUCCCAUUUCAAAAAACAUACUACCAAGUCGAAUUCUCGGUUCAGGGGGUAUUCCCAUUAUUGGCCAAACAGCUAUUGGCCUCGUUGUCAAUAAAUUUGGUUCAGUACCGCUGAACCAUGACAUGCCCUUCGUUGAUAAAACCUUGUGUUCAGGAGAGAGUAUUGAGGAUGAUAUUAACCGAAGUUUUAUCGUCGGUUCGAUCAGUGAUAACGAUUGACAAUGAUUUUUCGACUUUAAUAUUAAAUUAAUAUUUAUUCUAUAAUACCAAUCAGUGGUAGACAAUUCCAACAGGAAAAUCCCUCGACUUCGAGCAAAGUCAUUGAAUUAACAAUUUUUUAUGAAAUACUUCAACACGAAAAUUUGGUAAUUAUUUUGUAGAUUCACACUAGGAUUUUUUUUGUCUACGAUGGAUGAUCACCCAAAUAAGCAUCGUGAAGUCGUAUGAAAUUCGAUUGAAUAAUUGAUUUUCACUCACGACGCAAUGAAAAUUAAUUACUGAAUCAAAUCUUAUACGUUAUUAUUGAUCGUAAACACGGGCCUCGCGAUCAAUUCGCCCAGAAACCCUAUCUGGUGUGAAUUUUCUACAUAAUUACCAAGAAUGUAAUUAAACUUUACGGAAUUUCAUUAAAACGGUAUUUCUUUGUUUAUAAUUACGAUCAAUUGUCGAGGGCUCAAGCGCGCGCUAUUCGGCAGUACGACAAAUAGUGUGAGCCACCUCGUAACCAACGAAAUUCCACUGGCGUCGUUCAAAAUAGCUCCGAUUGACAUUGAUG